Vicia villosa (hairy vetch) is the source of this 1031-nucleotide long non-coding RNA. RefSeq lists it as uncharacterized. NCBI's taxonomy places the organism in Eukaryota, Viridiplantae, Streptophyta, Magnoliopsida, Fabales, Fabaceae. The record is from RefSeq and is a predicted model, not a curated record. The transcript has 2 exons.
UCUCCAGAAAGAAAAACAAAACUCCUCUGUUCAUCUAUCUCUCUCGCGCUCUCUCAUAUUCUCAGCAACAAAACCUCGCCUUUUCGCUCUCGAUCUCUCAACCUCGCAAUCGAUUAAGCAUCACCUAUCUAAAUAAAAGCAAGCAAAACCCUAAACCCAAUCGAUCCCUUUCCUCAAUCCAAUAAGUUUCGAUGAUCUCAAGUACAAGUCAUGAAUAAUCAAAGCAAACAGAAAUCACAGAAACAACAAUGGAUACAAGUACAUCAAACAAAUUCAAAUCGAAAUCAAAAGUAAUAAAAGAGAAUAGGUACGAUACUCUUUUUCGAUGCUUCAGACGUUGCGGAACUUCUCUUCUUCGUAUUCCGUUUUCAACUCUGAAUUCACGUCAUAAACAUCUUUGUGUUGUAGUUACUCGUUGCGAAUCGUUGAAGCUUGAAGCGAGUUUGAGUUGCUGCAGGUUGAUUGUGUAUGUUGAAGAAACUGUGAAGAUGGAAGCAGGGGAUCGGCUAUUGUUUUGGUUUGCAGAUGAAGGUUAGUGUGGGUUGAAAGGUGAGGUCUUAUGUGGUUCUGUGUAUGAUGGGUGUGAGUUGUUGAGUGAGAGAUGAGAGUUGGUGGUAGGUUGCAGUGAGCAUACGAUUCUGAGUUUGAGCAGUUGUUGUGGUUAUGGGUCAAGUAUGCAGAAAUGGUGAAUGAGAAAUCGUGAGGUAUUGGGUUUGUGAAGGAUUUGUGUGAAGAAUGAGGUUUGGCUUUGAUCAUUUUGGUGCAAGAUUUGGAGUUUUUGAAGCAGAUUGGGGCAGCAGCAUAGCAGGUUUGUUGGACCGUUUUGCUUGGCAUAGUGGAGCAGCAAGAAUGCAGAGUUUUGGACUGUAAUGGCAUGGCAUGGACAGCAGCGAUUUUGGACUGUUGUAGCAGGCUUAGAAACGUGAAAGACAACAACCAUAUACCUCUUUUUUUGUUUUUGUUUGACUUGUACCAAAAAGAAAGAAAAAUGGGCUUAUAACAAAAUGGUCAAUGGGCCUCAUUUUCAAAUA